Molecule: long non-coding RNA, 568 nt
Filed under: Homo sapiens (human)
Lineage: Eukaryota; Metazoa; Chordata; Mammalia; Primates; Hominidae
Description: HSALNT0334000
Source: RNAcentral
AUUCAAGAAUUUCCUUAAGGCCUACCGUGAAGACGUCGGAGGCAAGUUAAGACGUUGGGGAGCAGGUAAGAGAGACCAGAGUUCAGAAACAGACCGAUAAUGAUCUACCAGCUCCGGUGGGGAGGUCCAAGCUAGGGGAGUUUGUGCCUCCUCUGUGGAGUUGGGGAGGAAAGGUACCGGGCGGGCUCUGGUCCUCCUCCGACAGCCCUUUCCAGCAGGCCCGGGGCUGCUAAGACCCAGGCCUGGCGUUGAGCAACAGCAGCUCUCUUCCACAUGGUUGCUGGAGAGCGACCCUCCGAGCUGCCCCGAGGCCAUGUGGCUGCAGCCACAGGGUGCCCAAACCCGGUGCACGUUCAAGACGUGAAACCAGAGCAGAGAAGGUGCCGGAGGAAAAUCCAAAGAAUGGGAUGUUGGGGUACAAGACUCACUUCCUUUGGGCUUUGUCCUUCUUGGCCUUGGUCCUUUUCUUUCGGGCCUGGAGCGCAAGCACUGCAGGAGAGAGGGAUGGAUGAAGGGCGAAUGUGGAGGAAAGGAGGCGACCAAGGUGAGGGUGGAGACCCAGCAGGGG